RNAcentral lists this ribosomal RNA (633 nucleotides) under Phlomis iranica. Its description in RNAcentral is "eukaryotic LSU rRNA". Lineage: Eukaryota; Viridiplantae; Streptophyta; Magnoliopsida; Lamiales; Lamiaceae. The record is from RNAcentral.
UCGAAACCUGCAAAGCAGACCGCGAACACGUUCAAAACAACCCCCGGUGCCGGGGUGGGAGGGAGACCUCCACCCGCGGCGCCGAAACCCCGCCGGCGCGAGCCGUGCGGGCAACCUAACUCGGGCGCGGAAUGCGCCAAGGAAAACACAACGGAGCGCCCCGCUCCCCGCUGCGCCCCGUCCGCGGGGCRCCGGGGAGAGAGGGACGACCUGUAGAAAGUCUAAACGACUCUCGGCAACGGAUAUCUCGGCUCUCGCAUCGAUGAAGAACGUAGCGAAAUGCGAUACUUGGUGUGAAUUGCAGAAUCCCGUGAACCAUCGAGUCUUUGAACGCAAGUUGCGCCCGAAGCCAUUAGGCCGAGGGCACGUCUGCCUGGGCGUCACGCAUCGCGUCGCCCCCCUCCCCCCACUCGGGGCGRCCGGGGGCGGACACUGGCCCCCCGUGCGCAGCGAUGCGCGCGGCCGGCCCAAAUGCGAAUCCCCCGUCGACGCACGUCGCGACCAGUGGUGGUUGAACCCUCAACUCGCGUGCUGUCGCGCCACGACGCGUCGCCGGUGCGGAGACGAAAUUGAAACCCAACGGCGCUGGCACUCGCGUGCCGCUGCGCCAACGACCGCGACCCCAGGUCAGGC